This 23-nucleotide microRNA is filed under the name Ixodes scapularis (black-legged tick). Its description in RNAcentral is "Isc-Mir-305_3p* (star (passenger))". Lineage: Eukaryota; Metazoa; Arthropoda; Arachnida; Ixodida; Ixodidae. The record is from RNAcentral.
AGGCAUCUUUUGGAGUGCAAAUG